AUUGAACGCUGGCGGCAGGCCUAACACAUGCAAGUCGAGCGGAUGAAGGGAGCUUGCUCCUGGAUUCAGCGGCGGACGGGUGUGUAAUGCCUAGGAAUCUGCCUGGUAGUGGGGGAUAACGUCCGGAAACGGGCGCUAAUACCGCAUACGUCCUGAGGGAGAAAGUGGGGGAUCUUCGGACCUCACGCUAUCAGAUGAUCCUAGGUCGGAUUAGCUAGUUGGUGGGGUAAAGGCCUACCAAGGCGACGAUCCGUAACUGGUCUGAGAGGAUGAUCAGUCACACUGGAACUGAGACACGGUCCAGACUCCUACGGGAGGCAGCAGUGGGGAAUAUUGGACAAUGGGCGAAAGCCUGAUCCAGCCAUGCCGCGUGUGUGAAGAAGGUCUUCGGAUUGUAAAGCACUUUAAGUUGGGAGGAAGGGCAGUAAGUUAAUACCUUGCUGUUUUGACGUUACCAACAGAAUAAGCACCGGCUAACUUCGUG
This 484-nucleotide ribosomal RNA is filed under the name uncultured bacterium. Its description in RNAcentral is "partial 16S ribosomal RNA". It matches the Rfam family "Bacterial small subunit ribosomal RNA", at positions 30 to 507 of the family's 1533-position model. The record is from RNAcentral.